Molecule: non-coding RNA, 342 nt
Organism: Paramisgurnus dabryanus
Lineage: Eukaryota; Metazoa; Chordata; Actinopteri; Cypriniformes; Cobitidae
Source: the annotation of a RefSeq genome assembly
AUGAAACACAAGAUGGGAGCCAACAGUCGUCCUAAAGUGAGCGUCCUGCCGCCGUCCAGUGAAGAGAUUUCCACAAAGCAAACAGCAACACUGAUGUGUGUGGCCAACAAGGGCUUCCCCUCAGACUGGAGUCUGAACUGGAAGGUGGACGGGAUCAGCAGCAGGUCUCAGUACAGCAGUGUUGCUCUCCUGGAGAAGGACGGUCUGUACAGCUGGAGCAGCAGUCUGACUCUCUCUGAGCAGGAGUGGAGCUCAGUGAUCUCAGUCAGCUGUGAGCUCACACAGAAAGACCAGCGUGAUAAAGUCACUGGAGAAUUGAGGAGAGAUCAGUGUUCACAGUAG